This 256-nucleotide ribosomal RNA is filed under the name uncultured bacterium. RNAcentral's name for it is "partial 16S ribosomal RNA". It matches the Rfam family "Bacterial small subunit ribosomal RNA", at positions 524 to 777 of the family's 1533-position model. The record is from RNAcentral.
UACGUAGGGGGCAAGCGUUGUCCGGAUUUAUUGGGCGUAAAGAGCGUGUAGGCGGCCUGAAAGGUCAGCUGUGAAAACUCGAGGCUCAACCUCGAGACGUCGGUUGAAACCAUCUGGCUAGAGUCCGGAAAGAGGAGUGUGGAAUUCCCGGUGUAGCGGUGAAAUGCGCAGAUAUCGGGAAGAACACCCGUGGCGAAGGCGGCACUCUGGGACGGUACUGACGCUGAAACGCGAAAGCGAUGGGGAGCGAACGAGG